This 452-nucleotide ribosomal RNA is filed under the name uncultured Methanosaeta sp. Its description in RNAcentral is "bacterial SSU rRNA". It matches the Rfam family "Archaeal small subunit ribosomal RNA", at positions 889 to 1338 of the family's 1478-position model. Lineage: Archaea; Methanobacteriati; Methanobacteriota; Methanomicrobia; Methanotrichales; Methanotrichaceae. The record is from RNAcentral.
UGGAGCCUGCGGUUUAAUUGGAUCAACGCCGGAAAUCGUCCACCGGGGCGACAGACAAUAUGAAGGUCAGGCUGAAGACCUUACCCGAUUAGCUGAGAGGUGGUGCAUGGCCGUCGUCAGUUCGUACUGUGAAGCAUCCUGUUAAGUCAGGCAACGAGCGAGACCCACGUCCACAGUUGCCAGCAUACCCUCCGGGGUGAUGGGUACACUGUGGAGACCGCCGCUGCUAAAGCGGAGGAAGGAGUGGGCAACGGUAGGUCAGUAUGCCCCGAAUCUCCCCGGGCUACACGCGGGCUACAAUGGUUGGUACAAUGGGCAUCUACCCCGAAAGGGGAAGGAAAUCUCUUAAAGCCAAUCGUAGUUCGGAUUGAGGGCUGCAACUCGCCCUCAUGAGGCUGGAAUCCGUAGUAAUCGCGUUUCAACAGAACGCGGUGAAUACGUCCCCGCUCCUC